Molecule: ribosomal RNA, 253 nt
Filed under: uncultured bacterium
Lineage: Bacteria
Description: partial 16S ribosomal RNA
Rfam family: Bacterial small subunit ribosomal RNA
Source: RNAcentral
UACGUAGGGGGCAAGCGUUGUCCGGAUUUAUUGGGCGUAAAGCGCUCGCAGGUGGUUCGUCGCGUCGUGCGUGAAAGCCCCCGGCUCAACUGGGGAGGGUCAUUCGAUACUGAUUGACUUGAAGGCAGGAGAGGGUAGUGGAAUUCCCGGUGUAGUGGUGAAAUGCGUAGAUAUCGGGAGGAACACCAGUGGCGAAGGCGGCCAACUGGUCCGGCACUGACGCUGAGGUGCGAAAGCGUGGGGAGCAAACAGG